Poecile atricapillus (Black-capped chickadee) is the source of this 514-nucleotide long non-coding RNA. RefSeq lists it as uncharacterized. Lineage: Eukaryota; Metazoa; Chordata; Aves; Passeriformes; Paridae. The transcript has 5 exons. The record is from RefSeq and is a predicted model, not a curated record.
CUUAAAUGAAGACAAGCCUUCUGUGAAGGCCUUAUAAACAAGAUUCUGGCCCUGGAGUUUCCAGGAUUCUCCAGGAUUCACCAGGAGCUGCUCGUGGCCAGCUCUGGAGCUGUUGGGGCUCAGCAGCGAUGCCAGUGGGAUGGGAGGCUGGCACCAGCAGCUCUGAUCUGGAUCCUGUGAGUCUGAGAGAAGCAGUGCCAAAGGAUUACGAGCCCUUUUGCCCAUUGCGCUGGGCGGGAAGGAAAAUCAAGUGAGCCAUUGGAAACUGCUCUCAGACUGCAGAUUCUGACCAGACUCGUGUCAGGGCUUCAGGACUUUCAUUCUUCACUUAUGGAUGUCACGUGGGACAAUGUCAGAGCCUCAGUUUCCCUGCAGGAGGGAUGGAAGUUGGGAGAUGUCACAACAACCCUGGAGAAGGUCCCCAGGAGUGAAGUGCAGAACUGCAGAUGGGCACGGUGGAGGCUGUGCUGAGCAAGGAAGGAGAAAUAAUAAGGAAAAAACAGAAUAAAUGGAG